GAGACUCUGUGCGCGUGCAUAUCAAUAAGCGGAGGAAAAGAAACUAACUAGGAUUCCCUCAGUAACGGCGAGUGAAGCGGGAAGAGCUCAAAUUUGAAAUCUUCAAGGGUUCUACCUUUACGAAUUGUAGUUUAAAGAAGUGUUUUCUGUUGGAGUUUCGGUAAAAGUUCUUUGGAAUAGGACAUCAUAGAGGGUGAGAAUCCCGUAUUUGACCAGUUACUUUCCAGCUGUGUGAUACACUUUCAAAGAGUCGGAUUGUUUGGGAAUGCAGUCCAAAAUGGGUGGUAAAUUUCAUCUAAAGCUAAAUAUUGGCGAGAGACCGAUAGCGAACAAGUACCGUGAGGGAAAGAUGAAAAGAACUUUGAAAAGAGAGUUAAACAGUACGUGAAAUUGUCAAAAGGGAAGCGUUUGACACCAGUGUUGUUUAGUUGAAAAUCAAUUCAAUAAUUUUUGAUUUUGAGUAGUAUUGACUUCAUCAGCUUGCUGCUCUCUUUUCGGAAAUUAUUGAAUGCACUUUUCAGUUAACAAGUCAACAUCAAUUUCUUUUGUUGUAAAAGGGUAAGAGGAAGGUGGCUUACGCUUCGGCGUCAAGUGUUUAUAGCCUUUUACCUCUGCAAUCGGAGAGAUUGAGGUCUGCAGCGUAGAUCCUUCGGGGUUAGAUACAUUUGUGCUAAGCUAUAGCCUUGUAUAGACAACUUGUUGACUAUGCUCAGUCAUGUAGCUUACUCGCUUAGUGCUAUUUUACCUACGCUUAGGAUGUUGACGAUCAGCUGAGCGCG
Molecule: ribosomal RNA, 779 nt
Filed under: uncultured Neocallimastigales
Lineage: Eukaryota; Fungi; Neocallimastigomycota; Neocallimastigomycetes; Neocallimastigales
Description: partial large subunit ribosomal RNA
Rfam family: Eukaryotic large subunit ribosomal RNA
Source: RNAcentral